RNAcentral lists this ribosomal RNA (1021 nucleotides) under uncultured bacterium. Its description in RNAcentral is "bacterial SSU rRNA". It matches the Rfam family "Bacterial small subunit ribosomal RNA", at positions 355 to 1375 of the family's 1533-position model. The record is from RNAcentral.
UGGGGAAUCUUCCGCAAUGGGCGAAAGCCUGACGGAGCAACGCCGCGUGAACGAUGAAGGUCUUAGGAUCGUAAAGUUCUGUUGUUAGGGACGAAGGGUAAGAAUCAUAAUAAGGUUUUUAUUUGACGGUACCUAACGAGGAAGCCACGGCUAACUACGUGCCAGCAGCCGCGGUAAUACGUAGGCGGCAAGCGUUGUCCGGAAUUACUGGGUGUAAAGGGAGCGCAGGCGGGAAGACAAGUUGGAAGUGAAAUCUAUGGGCUCAACCCAUAAACUGCUUUCAAAACUGUUUUUCUUGAGUAGUGCAGAGGUAGGCGGAAUUCCCGGUGUAGCGGUGGAAUGCGUAGAUAUCGGGAGGAACACCAGUGGUGAAGGCGGCCUACUGGGCACCAACUGACGCUGAGGCUCGAAAGUGUGGGUAGCAAACAGGAUUAGAUACCCUGGUAGUCCACACCGUAAACGAUGAUUACUAGGUGUUGGAGGAUUGACCCCUUCAGUGCCGCAGCCAACGCAAUAAGUAUUCCACCUGGGGAGUACGUUCGCAAGAAUGAAACUCAAAGGAAUUGACGGGGGCCCGCACAAGCAGUGGAGUAUGUGGUUUAAUUCGACGCAACGCGAAGAACCUUACCAAGUCUUGACAUCCCUUGACAGACAUAGAAAUAUGUAAUCUCUUCGGAGCAAGGAGACAGGUGGUGCAUGGUUGUCGUCAGCUCGUGUCGUGAGAUGUUGGGUUAAGUCCCGCAACGAGCGCAACCCUUAUGGUCAGUUACUACGCAAGAGGACUCUGGCCAGACUGCCGUUGACAAAACGGAGGAAGGUGGGGAUGACGUCAAAUCAUCAUGCCCUUUAUGACUUGGGCUACACACGUACUACAAUGGCGUUAAACAAAGAGAAGCAAGACCGCGAGGUGGAGCAAAACUCAGAAACAACGUCCCAGUUCGGACUGCAGGCUGCAACUCGCCUGCACGAAGUCGGAAUUGCUAGUAAUCGUGGAUCAGCAUGCCACGGUGAAUACGUUCCC